CCGUCUUCUGCGUCGCUCACGCUGGGAGCUGUAGACCGGAGCUGUUCCUGUUCGGCCAUCUUGGCUCCUCAGAGUGGCUGAUUUUCAAGAGGACAUGAAGAUACAACAAAUGAUUUGAGAGAGCUCUUCAAAUGGCAAACACCUAGCAUGUGGGGAUCUGAAGCACCUCUUUGUGGGUUUCACUCUCAACACUCUUGGAAAAUCACCGAGUGUCAUGAGAGGUGUUAUUGAUGCAGGCCUGUCAUGCAGGGGACUGACAGAGAGGCCUCCUCAGAAAGACUGAGAUGGCCCACAGCAGAGGGCAGAAAAAAAAAAACCCUUUCCUGAUUAUUGCAAUCCUGGCAAUGUCAGCACCUGGUUACCAACUGCAGCGAUGAAAAGUAAUACAAACAUUUAGGUAUUGAUAUAUAGAAGACAUAAGAGUGAGGGGAAAAUGUUUUCCUAUAAACAUUUCUCAAAUAAUUUUGUGUUGUUUCAGUAAAGGUCACUGUGAUUUUGUAGGCCCUCAGGUGUGGGUUUAAUUGUGUUUACUUAUGAUGUAUGAUUACAGAAAGGUAUUAUUCCUGAAAAACCAUCAUAAUAUAAUUAAAAAGUUGGCAAAA
Molecule: long non-coding RNA, 602 nt
Organism: Homo sapiens (human)
Lineage: Eukaryota; Metazoa; Chordata; Mammalia; Primates; Hominidae
Exons: 2
Source: RefSeq, a predicted model, not a curated record